Molecule: long non-coding RNA, 1122 nt
Filed under: Acyrthosiphon pisum (pea aphid)
Lineage: Eukaryota; Metazoa; Arthropoda; Insecta; Hemiptera; Aphididae
Description: uncharacterized LOC103308958, transcript variant X6
Source: RNAcentral
UUACUUAAAAACUGAUAACAUGGCAUCUCGGCUCUCUCUAAAUAAUUGUAUUAAAGCUUUUUUAUUUAGUUAAUUUGCCGUGUCACAAACGAGCAAUGACAGUACGACUGUACGAGUUUGACUGUACGAGUGUGAGUGCACGACAUGUCGAUAUACCACCGGGCACCGCGACUUACAAAGUUACAAACCUUAAAAUAUAUAGGAUGUAGGCACUCGUCCUAUGGAAAAUCUCCACUAAUCCACUAUCACUACGAUCUAAAAUCCAACUAAUUUAAGUUUUAGAUGACCGUAAAAUUGAACCAGAAGUUGGGAUUGUUAGAAGCUGAAUAAUAAAACAAAUUUCUGUUCUACACACAUCAAACCCAACAUUUAUGAAGAUUCAAGAAAAAUAAUCAAUUUAAUUUUGAACAAAACAAAUGGUGGUGCUAAUAAAUAUGGAAAAUUCACAAAUUAUUAGUAUAUCAGAUGUGAUGAACAGUAUUCAUCACUUAGGCCAUGUUCUUAUGAAUGUUUCUAGAAAUAAUAAGUCAGAUAUACAGAAAGGGAUGGAUAUUAUUAAAGUUGAUGUCAAUAUAAAUCAAGAAACACUAAUGGAAACAGUAGAUACAAUUAGAAUUCAACAAUCAACAACCACAAGUUCAAAUGCAUAUGAUUUGUCAGUUGUCAUUACUCAAAGUGCCCAUUGAAAAUUUGGAGGAGUUGAAUAAACUCAAGGAGGAUGCGAAUAAAAAAAAAAUAUUAGUUGUGUCAUUAUUUAUUUAUUUAAGAAAAUGUAUGUUAAUGGGUGUCUACUUUUUUUGUAUAGGGUAAAUGUUACGUAGACACGAAAAUCAUUUAAUGCUAAAAGUGAUACGGACCUUAUGAUGAAGUUGACUGUAAAUAAUAGAAUAGCAGGAAAAAUCAAUAUGGAGGGAAGAAGAGGAGAUAAAUUGGCUUUUGGCCGUUUAGAAAUUUCUAAAAUUUUAAUUGAAGCCAUUCAAGACAUGUUUCCCGAUGAAUCCAUAUUAUCAAUUAAAAGUUAUAUCAGUGAUUGGCUUAAACAAGCCCCUAAAAUAAAAUUAGAUUUAUAUAUAAUUUUACAAUUAAGUUAUUUAAUAUAGUACAUUUGAUAUUGUAACAGUA